GGGUCGAUAGCUCAAUGGUAGAGCAGUUGCCUUUUAAGCAAUUGGUUCUGGGUUCGAAUCCCAGUCGGCCCACCA
Molecule: transfer RNA, 75 nt
Filed under: Opitutaceae bacterium
Lineage: Bacteria; Pseudomonadati; Verrucomicrobiota; Opitutia; Opitutales; Opitutaceae
Description: tRNA-Lys
Rfam family: tRNA
About the family: Transfer RNA (tRNA) molecules are approximately 80 nucleotides in length. Their secondary structure includes four short double-helical elements and three loops (D, anti-codon, and T loops).
Source: RNAcentral